AAAAAUACUAAUAAUAUACAUUCUUAGUAUCUAAAUACUGAAUACCAAAAACUAACAAAAUCUUCUAAAUCCUAGUAAUUUGAUAAAUUGUACUACUAUUUUAGAUAGAAUAAUUCCAUAAAGUUAUCAUGUAGGCAUCAGUUUCCACACAAUGAUCUCCCAUUUCUGCACAUUGAGGUGGAGGUAGCAUAAGUCCUUCUGCCAUAUUUGCAAGUAAUCCUGGCAUGAAAAAGAUCGCCUCCUCAUCCACGAAGUCACUACUCUCUUGCACAUUUUCUGACGUUUCAGGAGAUUCUCCUGAAACUUCUUCCGAUCGGAAGAUUUCGACGGCCUGAGCGGCCGCCUUUUGAAUAUCUUUAGAGUUGGAGGAAGCAGGGAUAGGCAGCCUCCAAGCAGAAUCAGAGAAAUUCAAACAAGCAGAACGGCCUCUUAAUGCUAAAGCCGCCACGUCAUGAGCUCUAGCCGCCAUUUCAGCCGUAGGAAAAGUACCAAGCCAAAUCCUUGUCUUCUUAUUUGGUUCUCUGACUUCACAAACCCAUUUUCCUGAAUUCCUCUUCCUGAUUCCCCUGUAUAUCGGAUGCCGUGUUUCUCGAAACUUCUUCCUGCCAGCUGGCUUUUUCGGGUUAUUCGAAGCUAAAAUAACUUCCUCUUCAGAAAACGACGAUGACGAUGAAGAAGAAGAUGAUUCGGUUAAAAUUAACGAGUCUGAAUAAUAGGUUUCAAAGAUAUUCAUUGUUGUUGAGAGCUAAAAAUAGAAAGU
RNAcentral lists this unclassified non-coding RNA (760 nucleotides) under Hevea brasiliensis (rubber tree). Lineage: Eukaryota; Viridiplantae; Streptophyta; Magnoliopsida; Malpighiales; Euphorbiaceae. The record is from RNAcentral.